RNAcentral lists this ribosomal RNA (460 nucleotides) under uncultured bacterium. RNAcentral's name for it is "partial 16S ribosomal RNA". It matches the Rfam family "Bacterial small subunit ribosomal RNA", at positions 338 to 795 of the family's 1533-position model. The record is from RNAcentral.
CCUACGGGAGGCAGCAGUGAGGAAUAUUGGUCAAUGGACGAGAGUCUGAACCAGCCAAGUAGCGUGAAGGAUGACUGCCCUAUGGGUUGUCAACUUCUUUUAUAUGGGAAUAAAAUGUUCCACGUGUGGGAUUUUGUAUGUACCAUAUGCAUAAGGCUCGGCUAACUCCGUGCCCGCAGCCGCGGUAAUACGGAGGAUCCGAGCGUUAUCCGGUUUUAUUGGGUUUAAAGGGAGCGUAGGGGGAUUGGUAAGUCAGUUGGUAAAGUUUGUGGCUCAACCGUAAAAUUGCAGUUGAAACUGGCGGUCUUGAGUACAGUAGAGGUAGGCGGAAGUCGUGGUGUAGCGGUGAAAUGCUUAGAUAUCACGAAGAACUCCGAUUGCGAAGGCAGCUCACUGGACUGCAACUGACACUGAGGCUCGAAAGUGUGGGUAUCAAACAGGAUUAGAUACCCGUGUAGUC